Molecule: transfer RNA, 77 nt
Filed under: Bacteriovoracales bacterium
Lineage: Bacteria; Pseudomonadati; Bdellovibrionota; Bacteriovoracia; Bacteriovoracales
Description: tRNA-Pro
Rfam family: tRNA
About the family: Transfer RNA (tRNA) molecules are approximately 80 nucleotides in length. Their secondary structure includes four short double-helical elements and three loops (D, anti-codon, and T loops).
Source: RNAcentral
CGGAGCGUAGCGCAGCCUGGUAGCGCAUCUGCUUUGGGAGCAGGGGGUCGGAGGUUCAAAUCCUCUCGCUCCGACCA